RNAcentral lists this non-coding RNA (30 nucleotides) under Mus musculus (house mouse). Lineage: Eukaryota; Metazoa; Chordata; Mammalia; Rodentia; Muridae. The record is from RNAcentral.
UAACUACUACUGCACUGUUUAGUGUUAACU